Molecule: long non-coding RNA, 508 nt
Filed under: Mytilus galloprovincialis (Mediterranean mussel)
Lineage: Eukaryota; Metazoa; Mollusca; Bivalvia; Mytilida; Mytilidae
Source: RNAcentral
CCCCUUUAAACAAACCCUAACACAUAGAUUACUGGUAUCUUAAACUAACAUAAUUAUAGUCAAAGUCAAUAGAUCAUGCAUAUGACCGAGGGUUAAGGACCAAAUAUCCUCUAUGGAACUGAAAUGUACUAAUGCUUCUUCAACUACAUGGCAAUCAUCAUUGACUUACGACGAUUGGUUUCCUUCAUAGUAAAAUAAUCAAAAGCUUUAUGAAAUUUCAAAGUAACGUAAGUUUCCAAGUAAAAAGAGAAUAAUUUAGGGGGCAGGGUCAAAUAUCCUCAAUAGAAAUUGAAAGUGACAAAGUUUAUACAACUGCACACCAAAUAUCAUUGACCAUUCACUAGUGGUUCCUCAAUAACUGACCUAAUCAAAAACUAAUACAUGUAAACUAAGUUUCAGAGUCAAUUGACUAUGACAAAGGGGGUGGGGCUAAAUAUUCUGGUAAUCAGGUAAUGAGAUAUACCUAUGCUAACACAACUGCGUACAAAAAAUCAUUGACCUCCCAUAA